This 35638-nucleotide long non-coding RNA is filed under the name Gossypium barbadense (sea-island cotton). RNAcentral's name for it is "long non-coding RNA (GBAR_LNC008618)". The stretch from base 9986 to 10129 matches the Rfam family "MIR7502 microRNA precursor family". Lineage: Eukaryota; Viridiplantae; Streptophyta; Magnoliopsida; Malvales; Malvaceae. The record is from RNAcentral.
UGGAAUUGUCCAGGGUUAUUGACAGGGCGGUGGAGCACUGCUAUGGUUAGCUUUUCCCUGUUGUCUUGGUUGGCCAAGUACACAGUGCUUCCUGCUGGAAUUCUUACCACAACUCCAGGAGCUACAUUGUAUGACUCUUUGUUUUCAUGUGUCACGAACGUAAUUGUUCCUCUUCCUGAGAAAGUAAAUAGUUUACCAUGUUUUAGUUAAUGGUGAUAUAUUAUAUAUGUUAAUAAAAGGGAAGAGCAAAAAUAGAGUAUUCACCGUUAGUGACAACGUAAAUUUUCUCCGCGUCACAAUGGUGUGGGAGAACGAAAGUGUUGGGGUUUGCUUCUAAAAUGGCAAUGCGGAACUCGUUGAUGCCCCUAAGUAAAUGAUGUUUGGCAGCAAACCUCUGGAGGACUCUGAAAUUGCCAUGUUCUUCCCUGAAUCGUUCUUGGAACGAUCUGCGAUGGAAGUAGUAAGGGUUGUUCCUUUGUUGUUGCUCUCCUUCGUCACUUUCCUCCUCUUCUUCUUCUCUCCACUUGUUUUCUCUCUCUCCCUUCCAUGGAUCCUCUUGGUACUGUUCCCUGCAUUCCUUCACACAUUGUUGCUUCCGUUCGGGCCCUUGCUCUUGCCGUUGGCAACGGUGUUGACACUCCUUGAAUCGCUUGUCAGGCUGCUGCUGCUGUUGUCUCUCGUAUUGUUCCUGGCAGCUUUGUUCGCACUGUGGACGCAGCCUUCUUUCUUCCUGUUGGCAGUGUUGUCGGCAAUCCUGGUAUCUCCUCUGAGGAUCGUCUCCGUCACGCUGCUGCUCCUCCUUAAACUGCCUUUCACACCUGUCUUCACACUUGUCUUGCUCCGUUUGUCCACGUGUCUCCGACUGGCAUCGCCUCUGGCAGUCCUCGUACCUCUGUCGAGGAUCAUCCUCGCUUCUUCUGCCGGGGAAGUCUUUGGCAGAGCAAAGCAAGCCAAAGGAAAGGAAAAGAGAAAAGAGCAAAACUACGAAAACUGACUUGUUCCUCACCAUGAUUACCAUAAGUACUGUAUUUUUUUUAGUGUACGAUGGUAGUGGCAAAGACUGGUAAUGUAUUUAUAGAAGAUGGAACUGUGGAAGGUGAUAUUUUUGCAUGCAAAUCUCCAUCAACGUGUUGAAGACAUUGACAUGCAAGGUGACGAGUGUGCAAAUUAAAGAAGACAAAAUAUUUUGAGUCUUUUUUUAUAGAGAUGCCACAUCCCUUCACGUGGUACGGUCAGGGUUCGGACAAGCUUUGUUGCAGAGGGGAAUCAUGGUUGUAUAUCUGUAACUGGAAGUGGCGAAGUGAUAAUGCUUUGACAGUAGAGUGGUGGACCGAGUUGUCGUUUGUGUCAACUCAAGUGACUUUAAAGAGUGUAAAAAGUGGGAUGUGGCUGUUUUAUGAGGUGAAUUAGAGAUGAGUUGAUGUCCCGAUUCACUGAGUUAUAAGGUUGAUUUGGUUUUUAUCUGCACUUGGGCAGAAUGGAGGACAGCUCAAGUGCACACAUGUUGCUGUGCAUGGUGAUGACUGAUGAAUUGCUUGAGAUAUGAACGAAUUAAGAUAUGUACAUAGAGACUAUUUCAAUUCAAUAUAAUCUAAUUGUAUAAAUUCACGCUACUGAAAUUAAAAACUAAGAUAACACGUCACAUGUUGAAAAAUAAAAAUGAAUUUUAAAAUAAAGGCAUACUUAUACCUGGUUUUUUUUGAGAGAGAAGUUACGAGUAGAAACAAAAAUUAUAUUAAAAUAAAAUUUUAAAAUUAUUUAUUUAUUGAUGAUGUGUUUAUAAUUAUCUUUACUAAAAGUGUAAUAUGUGAUUAGAAGAAGUGAUAGCGGAUAUUUAUGAAGUUGCGAUGACUUUUUUAUUAUUGUAUCAUGUGAUUAAAAUUAGAAUAUUUAUCUUAUCAAACAAAUGUGAUUAGUGCGUCUUAAACCUUGAACACUUUAACUGUAAGACUAACACAUUGUUUAUUCAUUGCAAUACUUGUUAGUUAAUAGCAUGAUUGAUUAUAAGCCAGAUAGGGAAUUAUAUUAUGUGGAUGUAUAAUAUAUUCUACAUUGACCUCACUUGUGUGUGUUUGUCUGCUAGAAUUAAAUCUCUCAAUUUUUAAUGAUAUUAAUAAAUUAAACAAUAUGUGCUUCAUUUUAAGAUUAUUUGUUAAAAAAGAGAAAUAAUCAAAUAGUUUCAUCUUGAUAAUUGAAAAAGUAAGAAAAGAUAAAUUAUUAGGCACUUUUUUUAUAAUUAUAACCAAUUUAUUGUAAAGUAUAAAAAUUUAUCUUUACAUGGAUGAUUAAAUUAUGAAUAAAAACUGAUAUUUUAUCUUUAACUAGAUUUUCAUUAUAUUAGUUUUUCAAAUUUAUUUAUGAUUAUUAUUUUAAUCAUUUUAUAUUUUAAUUAUGAUUUUCAUUAUAAGUAUAAAAAUUAAAAGUUGAUGGCUAAAAAAACUCAAGAAUACAAUUAAGACCAUUUUGAUAAAAGAUGUAAAUAUUAGUGAUUAAAUUUAUCAUUAAGAAAAAGUCAUAAUGGUUUCUUUUAAUAUUAUGAGUUCAAUGUCACUUUAACUAUCCCAUGGAGGUAAUCAACUGCGCAAUACAUAAUCAUAAUGCCUACAACGGGGCCUUGCAGACGAAUGUCACCUUACAGACUACCUCGCGAGCAGAAUCAACGGUUCACACAACAAAUAUCUCGAUUCACAACACAUCUCCUCAAGACAGAAAUUAUCCCGCAGACCACCUAACAUUCUCCUUCAAAUACAAUCACCAAGGUUCACUGUACGACGCAGCAGCAACACUUACCACUGACAGCCCUUAUCCACUAAUUUUGCUACGUCCUUACAACACUUCAACCAAACUCACUGCAAAUUACUAUUUAUCAGACAAUUACUAUGUCAUCUCCAACGGCUCCGGAUUUCAACAUGUUUGUAUACCCCCCAAACAGGAAGUGGCGCAGGUACCUCCUUGGCCAAGUUUAUGUCCAUCGGAAGUUACAACCAAUACUCGCAGAUAUCAAACACCUGCAAAACGGGAUCUGAUUAUACGUACAAGAGGAACGAUACCCACUCCAUGCAACAGUCAACAGGUUGGCAUAUUGUUCAGCACUUUCCAGAUUCUCCAAGUCGUGGUCAACGUAGCCUGGAACUUGUUUCUUUGACUUGAAGUUUACCAAAAAAAAAUACCACUUUAACUAUAUAUAUUAAAAGAAUUUGAUUCAAUCCUAUCAAAAUUAAUUUGUUUAAUUUUUUUUAUAAAUGAGAAUGAGAAUAAAGUUGUUUGAGAUCGAAUCCAAUCUUUUAUAUAAUUUACAACAUAAUAUUUUUAUUAUUAGGUCAAGAGAUUAUCGGUAAAAUGACUUAUUUAACUAAAUUUCGCUUUCCUUAGCAAUGCAAGUUCAUUUUCAUUACAAAAUGGAAAUUUUUUCUCUUGAUAUUAUACCAUAUCUUGAGCAUGAAAGUUACUGAAAAUUAAACUUGUUUAAUUAAAUCAAUUAUAUAUAUAAGAAAAGAAAGAAAGGCAAAAGUGAUGAAUAAAAAAACUUCAAUGGAGCAUUGGGGAUAAUAAAAGAAAAAUAUAUCUUAAAACAAGGUUAAUUUUGUAAUAAUAAACACUAGUUAACCCAUUGGGGCAUUUACCUUCGUUGCAUUUGAUGAAACUCACCUCAUUGGUGAAAUUCGAAGGGAGCUAAAACCUCCGGUUGGAAUUUUUUUGUCCAGAAAGUUGUGCGACAAACUAGCAGAUUGGAGGGAUUAUUGUUGUACCCAAAAUAUGUGGGUUUAGACCUAGAGUCAAAACCACCGGCUCAAGUCCAAAUAGCAAUAAAAGGCCCAAGCAAUAAGUAGGCUAGCCAAUUACUAAAUGACCCAUAAAGGGUUACUUGCUCAUUUAAUGAAAACGAACCUGACCUUACCCCUAUAGAGCUUGAGAGUUGGUAUAAGCAUCCUCCUCAUGUCUUCAUGCAAGAAGCUUUUCAUAAGCUCCAUUCGACUUAAACUCAAGCUGUUGAACAAGAUAGAAAGGGAUCUAACAACCCUAUAAUAGAAUGUAGCUAAUUCACCAAUCAAAUAUAACGGUUAGAUCUAAACACGAGAGCGGGUAGCUCCACAAAAAUAUUACAAAAUCUAUAAAUGCUCACAAUCAAAUAUUAUAAAAUUUUCCCCUUUCUCAAGGUUGAAAAUUUUGGUAUUAGUAUAAUUUUUAGAGACACUAACAACAUCAAAUCAAAUGAAAUAAUACUAAUUAAUUACUUAAGUACUUAACGUUUUAUUCCUUAACAUAGAAAGACAAAAAAGGCACUCAAAAAGUUCAUACAAGUUAUUGCACUACAAAACAAGGGUCUCCUCCUUUACAUAGGUCACCAUUUUUAUUUCAUUACAUGCCUGCUUAAAACUAGAAAAUUUCACAUUAGUCCGUAAACACGAGACUAUGUGGUUAUUAUUGCCUCUAACUCUUUAUUCAGAUGCACGCUGCCUCUGUCGAGACACGAAGUAAGACUCUUGUGGGUUGUUGUUGAAUAUCUCAUCCACCAACCUCGAUGACACCCCAAAGGCCAACUCCUUGGCUUGGCUAUCCCAUUGUCUCACAUGGUUGAUUUUCCCAGCCACGAAGAUCCUCUGGUUAUGGUCUGGGUUAAUGUUCUGGUUGUAAAGACCGAACCCAGUCAUCCGCAGGUUCUGGUUUUGGGAUGCAACGAAUGUAACUGGGAAGUUUGCUGGGACUACAAAUAUGUCUCCACGCGACAACUGGGACCUUAUUUUCCUGUAUUGCCCACUUCUCCUUUCCUCUUCUUGUUCUUGUUCUUGUUGUUGUUCUUCUUCUUCUUCAUAUGAGCUUUGCCUAGGAAGAUGAGGAGAAACCAUUUCAACGUAUCCAUUUCCUUCGUUAACAAGGACCACGAAUGUAGCCUUUGAAUUGUAGUGCGGCACAAAGAUUGAUCCCUACAAAAAAAGGAUUUGAUUUUGGUUAGUAUAAUGAUGGAAAUUAGAGGGAAAACAAAGGGUGAUUUGGUUUUAAGUACUUGGUUUAAUUGCAAGGCUGAAACGGUGACAUUGAUGUCCCUGAGUUGCCGGAAUUCACGUGGGCAAGCCUCAUAGAAGCGGCCGUUUUGGUUGGAGUAGCGAGGGGUUUGGUACAAUAAGUUGAAGGCGAAUCUCUCGCCACUUUUCUCCCUUGGAGAAGUGGCUUCUUGGCUCAAUGCCCUUAUUUGUUCUUGGCUGGCUUUACGGAACAUUCCCUGUCCCUGCUGCCUUCGGUGGCUUUGCCUCCCACCAAACAGCUCGUCUAGCUGCUCACUUCGUGUCUGAUACAACACAACAUGAAUGAAUCAAUGAAUAAUCAAGUUUUAUUAAAAAAAGUUGAUUAAUUAGUUCAAAGAGCAAUACAUUGAAGGCAGGCUCAAGAAUUUCACGACUAAAGGCUCGGAGAUAUGACUGAGGGCGUUGGCUUCCAGCUGGGAAGAAUUCCUGCAGCAAAAAUAUAAGUAAAUAUCUAUAUAACUAAAACCAAACAAGUUUGUAAAUGUUUUAAAAAUGUAGGAACCUCGAAUUGUCCAGGGUUAUUAACAGGGCGGUGAAGCACUGCUAUGAUUAGCUUUUCCUUGUUGUCUUGGUUAGCCAAGUACACAGUGCUUCCUGCUGGGACUCUGACUACAACUCCCGGUACUACAUUGUAAGACUCUUUGUUUUCAUGUGUCAAGAACGUAAGCGUUCCUCUUCCUGUGAAAGUAAACAGUUUACCAUGUUUUAGUUAAUGGCGUUAUACUAUAUAUGCUAAUAAAGGGAAGGGGAAAUGGAAGAAUGUUCACCGUUGGUGACAAGGUAAAUUUUCUCAGCGUCACAAUGGUGUGGGAGAACGAAAGUGUUGGGGUUUGCUUCUAAGAUAGAUAAGCGGAACUCAUUGAUGCCCCUAAGAAUAGGAUGCCUUGAAGCAAACCUUUGGAGGACCCUGAAAUUGCCAUGUUCUUCCCUGAAUCGAGAUUGGAAUGAUCUGCGAUGGAAGUGGAAAGGGUUAUGGCUUUGUUCUUGCUCUCCUUCUUCAGUUUCCUCCUCUUCUGCUUCUUCUUCUCUCUCUCUCCUCCAUGGAUUCUCCUGGUACCUUUCCCUGCAUUCCCUCACACAUUGUUGCUUCCUUUCCGGCCUUUGUUCUUGCUGGUGGCAAUGUUGCUGACACUCCUGGAAUUGCCUCUGGGAUUGUUGUUGUUCUUGCUCGAAUCGUUUCAAGCACCUUUGUUGGCAUUGUGGUCGUUGCCUUUCUUCUUGUUGUCGGCAUUCUUGCUGACACUCCUCGUAUCUCCUCUGGGGAUCUUCAGGGCGGUGGCGCUGCUGUUGAUCUUUCUCCCCAUACUGACUUUUACAACUUUCUUCACACUGCUGUUGCUCCUUUUGUCCACGUGUAUCCCAUUCGCAUCGCCUCCGGCAGUCCUCGUACCUCUUCGGAGGAUCAUCGUCGCCUCUUCUUCCGGGAAAGUCUUUGGCAGAACAAAGCAAGCCAAAGGAAAGGAAAAGAGAAAAGAGCAAAACUACGCAAGCUGACUUAUUCCUCACCAUGAUUACGAUAAGCUCUGUAUUUUGUUACUGUGUGAUGGUAAUAGCAAAGAGUGGUAAUGUAUUUAUAGAAGGUGGAGCUGUAGAAGGUGAUAUUUUUGCAUGCAAAUCUUCAUCAACGUGUUGAAGACAUUGACAUGCAAGAUGACGAGUGUGCAAAUUAAAGAAGACGAAAUAUUGUCUCUUUUUUUUUGUAUAGUGGUGGGUAGAUAUCGAGAUGCCACAUCCCUUCACAUGGUACUAGCAAGGUUCGGACAAACUUUGUUGCAGGGGGGUUCAUGGUUGCAUCUGUAACUGGAAGGGGCGAAAUGAUGAUGCUUUAACAGCAGAAAGAUGAUGGACCGUGUUGUGUUGUAUGUGAACUCAGUUGAAUUCAAAGAGUGUUGAAACUGGGAAGGGUUUUAAAGUGAGACAGAGAUGUCCCGAUUCACUGAGUUAAGGGUUGAGUUGAUAGAGGACAAGUCAAGUGUACACAUGUUGCUGUGCAUGGUGAUGAUCUAUGAGUUGCAGGAGAUAUGAACAAAUUCAGAUAUGUAUACUUUUGGUAUCCUGUACGUUUGAUGCUCAUACAAAUUAGUCCUUUCAAAGUUUGAGGUAUUUUUAUUCUUUUUCAAUAAUAUUAUCUAAGUAUUACAUAUUAUAUCAUUAUAUAAAUUUAUAUAAUAAGAAUGGAAAAUAAAAUGUUUCACUAAAAACACUUAAAAGUAAGGAUUUGGAUUCAAUAUAGAUAAUAGUAUAUAAGUUAUACAGUCCAAUUUAACAUAAGGUGCCACGUAUUAAGAAAUAUGGUAAUUUAUUUUUUCAUAAAUUUUAAAUUAAUUAUACUUAUUUAUUAAUAAUUUUAUAUAAUCCUAACAAUAUAUUAUACUAUGUUAGUUUAUUAAAAACAAACAAGUAGGCGAGGGGCUAGGGCCAUGACUCUUUAAUUUUAGGGUAAUCUAUAAAAAUAGUCAUUUUUGUUUGCCUCAGGUUAUAUUUUAAUCAUUUAUGUUUGAAAUGUUACACUUUAGUCACUUAUGUUAUUAUUUUGUUACAAAGUGAUCACUCUACCGUUAAGCUCCGUUAUCUCUCUAACGAUAAUCCUACAUGGCAGUCCAACUAAAUUUUAGGUGCCAACUUGGAUUUCUAAAUAGGAUGAAAAUAGAUUUUUAAUUAAAAAUUUUAAUUAAUUAAAAUUUUUAAACUUAAACCUUAACUAAAAAAACUGUUCAUCUCCUCUUUUCUACUUUUCUUCCUUCUCUUCUUUUUUUCAAUGGUUUUUUUUUUCAUUUGAUUGGAAAAACUAUUAUUAAGAUCAAAAUAGUUGAAAUCAAAUUGACUGCUUUAUAAAGAUGGAUUCAAUGGAGGAUUUAGGUAUUUCCUCUUUGCAUUCCUCUAUCUUUUUUAUUCAAUACUGAAAAACAAAAGAUUGAAUUUUUUAUUGUUUAGUGAAAACCCUAAAUUAAAAUUUAAGUAUUUUUGUUCAUCAAACAACAAAAAACAAAAAACAAAAAAGAGAGAAAGAAAGAGAGAAGCUGUUCACUUUAGUACAAUUUCUGUCUCUUCAUCAAUGGUGGUUUCGGUGUAGCUUUACACAAACCCGAUACUCACCCAACCAAAUAUUCUCUCUUUUAUUUUUAUUUUUCUUUUGAUAGAAAAAUGAAAGGAAAGACCAAGUAAAAUUUUUUUCUCUUCUAAACUUCUUUGGAUUCCAAAUAAGUUUUUUUUUCUUUUCAUUUUCUUGGUUUUUAAGGGAAAAAUGGAAAACCAAAAAACCAUUGGAAAAACGAAGAGAUGGAAGAAAAAUAAAAAAGGGGAGAUGAACAAUUCUUUUUAGUUAAGGUUUAGGUUUAAAAAUUUUAAUUAAUUAAUUUUUUAAUUAAAAAUCUAUUUUCGUUCUAUUUAGAAAUCCAAGUUGGCACCUAAAAUCUAAGGCACCCAUUGAUCACUUCGUAACAAAAUAAUAACAUAAGUGACUAAAACGUAACAUUUCAAACAUAAGUGACUAAAAUGUAACCUGAGGCAAACAAAAGUGACUAUUUUUGUAGAUUACCUUUAAUUUUAUGACUAUCUUUUUAAAAUAAAAAAUCUUAAAAUUUAGGGUUAAUAAAAACAAAGUAACGUAUAUUUAUUUGGUAUUUAAAAUAUUUUUUAACUUAAUUAAUAUUUAAACUUGUAAAUCAAUUAGAUAUUUUCUUUGGAUACUGACUAAUAUCAUUAAAAUCCGUUGACAUAGUACCGGCGACCUAUAACAUAGCAACAUGUGGCAACAUGAUAUUUUGACAUGUGAUAAAAAUAAUAAAAAUUAUAGAAUUUUUUAUACAUCUCAUUUUAUACAUUUUUUUAGUAUUUUUAUAUAUUUGAACUUUUUUUAUAACAUAUUAGAUUUUUUAUAUUUUUAUUAUUAUUUUGACAUUUAAAAUAUAUAAAAUUUGAAAAAUAAAAAAAUUAUAUAUCCAAAAAAAACAAACAUCUAGUACAUAUUUCCUCAUCAAUGCUUCUGGUGCAAUAUAAUAUGGGCUACCAACAAUGUCCUUAAAUACAUCAGCUAUUCCGAAGGCACAUAGUUAAAAAAUAAAAAUAAAAAUCAACCCUAUCACGAAAAUUUUAAUGAACGGAGAUUAUUAUAUUUGCACCUGGCUUGUAAAAGAGUGUGACAGUCCCAAAUUCGUAGCCUUGAAUGGUGAAUUUUCCUCUUUGUAAUAGAAUGGCAAGUAUGGAUGAUUUGGACCAUGGUUCUAACCAAAGAAGCGGACGCACGUUGUUAUCAUUUUUAAAAAUGAUUUUUUUUAAAAAAUUUAAUUUUUGAAAAAUUAAAAUUAAAAUUAAAUUGUUAAAUUUUAUAAAUGUUGAGGGUUAAAUUUAUUAAAUUUUUAGAAUUUAAAUUAAAAUGACUAAUUUUGUAAAUAUUAAAAAUUAAAUUUGUUGAAAUUUUUAUAUUUAGGAUCAAAUUUAUAGAAUGUGUAACUAUCAGAUGAUUAAAUUUGUUAUUAGACUAAUAAAAAAAUCCACAUCAACUUCUCGUUACUCAUCUUAGGGCAACUAAAGGUAGAGUAAUUAAAAUAUUAAUUUUAAAAAGUUUAAUGACUAAAUUAAAAAAUUAAUAGUUAGGUAACUAAAAUAGAAUGAAAGAUGUAGUUAGGUGACAUUUUUGUAGUUUACUUAAAUAAUAAUAUAUUUUGUACCAACAUCAUCAUUAACGUCCACUCGAUGCAAACUAAAAUCGGGUAAUUUGGACUUGUGAAACCAAUGGGAUCCAAUUUGGACUCUCAAGGCUUUAUUAAAAAUAACUUAAACCCAUUACAUUUGAGGCCCAAUGUAUCCUAAAUUCAAUAUAAUUCACCAAUAAUGUCUUGGCAUGUAAAAAUAUCAUGAAGGCCCUUGUACUAAGUGUUAAAUUGUAUUUUUUCCUUUCUACUCAAAAAAUGGAUAAAUUAGUCCCUAUACAUUAGAUCAAGGAACAAAUUAGUCAUUUCUGUUAAAAUUUCAUCCAUUUAUACUAUUAACUAUUGACAUGAUUAACAGAAUAACCAAACAGUGAUACAUGUCAUGCCACAUGUAUUUUAUGCCAAUGAACAGGGAAUAAUUUUUAAUAAUAAAAAUGGAUGAAUUUUUUAAUAGAAUGACCAAUUUACUCUUUGAUCUAAUAUACAAGGAUUAGUUUGCUCAUUUUUUUAGUAGAAGGGGUAAAAUAAAAUCUAACUCCUAAUAUAAGAGCCGUAAGAAUACAAAUUACAUAAUUCACGUUACUACUUUAAAUGAUCUUAAUGUAAAAGUUGUCAUGCCAUUGUCGAGAGGUAUUAUGGGUUGAGUCAAAUCUAUGUAUGGUAUUAGCAUAGUUUAUUUUUAUUUAAAUUUGGCUCAGUUCAAAAUAUAAAUCACAAAUUUUUCUCAUUUCUACCCAUGUCGAUAAAUAACUGACUCAAAAGCUUGUUUUAAGCUCGUUAUAUUAUAUUUUCAAUUUUUUUAUAAAAAAUUAUUUUUAAUUCAAUAUUUAACAAUUUAGCAUUUUUGUUAAAAUUUUAAACACAGAUAACUUGCAUGUUGUUUAUUUUUUAAAUUAUAAUAUUAUAUAUUAUUGUAUUUUUUUCAAAUUCAAGUUUAAUAUUACGUCGUUUUCUUAGUUAUAUGGUUAUCGAGUAAAUUUUUUAAUUUAAAAUGUUACACCAACAAAUUUAACAAAAAAAAUUAAAACAAGGUUAACAAUUGAAUCUUAAUUUUGAAAUCUGUAAAGUUAAAAGACUAAAUUCCUAAAAAUAUAAGUAUAAAAAAUAAAUUCUAAAUUUAAAAAAAAUACAAAAACUUAACAUAUUUUAACCAUUUUUAUAUUAAUGUAAUUGGUUGGUCCUCAGUCCUCACCUCUAUGCUAUACAAGUCUUUAAAUAAGUUAGUCAAUUAACUUUAGUUCAGUAAUUACAGAAAAGAAAAAAAAUGAAAAAUAAUUAUAGAAUUUCAUAUAAAAAAAAGUGAACACCUUUUUGUACGUUAAUAAUAAUAAUAAUAAUAAUAAUAAUAAUGAUGAUAAUAAUUCUGUUAAAAUAUAAUUUUCAAACUUUUUUUGCACUUAAUGCAACCUAUUUUUAUGUAAUAUAAUUCACAUUUGAUUCCUUUUUACAUGUAUAAUAUAUAUACUAUAUAUAUAGAUAUAGAUGAUUCUUUCUUUUAAUAAUUUUUUUUUCUCUUCACGUAAGAACCCUACAACCCAAUUUCAGUAAGAAAAAAAAACGACAAAACCCUAGCAAAUCCUAACACUUCAAUGGCCUCAAGACGUUCAAAGGUUAUUCGUUCAUCGAGCCAAGGCGAAAUAGGUCUGUUUAAUCAGAUAAUUGCAAUAGACUCUCCAACUCCAAUAUCGAAUCGGCUGACACCGGCCCAUUCAGCUGUAAGAAGAGCACCGAACACGGUUCCAAUGCAGCAACCAAGAACCGCGGUUCCAAAAAAACAGCAGCUGCCAAAGAAGACAAUAUUUAUGUUGGGGUCACCCGAAAGAAGAAGAGAGAUAAAAAAGGACGAAGGGUUCGGGAUCUUUUUUCAGAAUUGUUCCUUGUGCAAGAAGAAACUCAAACCGGAUAAAGACAUUUAUAUAUAUGGGUACGUUAGACACGAUUUUUUACCAUGAGUGUUGGAUAUUCGGGUUUAUUAGUUUAUAUUUACAGUAUAAAGUGAAACAUUGUUUGAUGAUUGCAGCUACCUAGGCGCAUUCUGCUCCAUUGAUUGCCGAGAUGAUCGAAUAGCUUUGGACGGUAUCGACAAUGAAGUUGUUCCCAAUUUACCAAUAAACAUGAGACCCUCAAAGAGAUUUUGAACCACAAAUUUGACAUUUUCCUGAUAUGUAUCGGAUACAAAUAUUCAGUUUUUUUUAAAAGCUAUCAUCGUAUCGAAAUUCGAAUUCGUGCCGAAUAGAUUUGAAAUAAAAAAAAAGGGUGUCCUGAUUAAGCAACAAGAAUUGUCUGCUAUAGCUGAAUAUUACAGAGGGAAUGUAAGAGCUAUUCAUUGGUAUGGUCUCCAUUGCAAGAGACAAAGGAACAUGCUUUUGCCAGUCAAUGCCCACUAACAAAAAAGGGUUACUUUCAGAUUAUAUAACCAAAAGAAUCUAACCAUAUAACUUGGUCUGACCCCAUUGGAGAUAAUUAUAUAUUAAACUUCCUUUUAAAACCUUAGAUUAAUAUAUACAGAGAAAGAAUAAUAGGUUCAGAAGGAAAAAAAGAAGCCUUAAAAUCAUGAGUUUGCCAAUAUAAUUUGUCAGGUACAUGAACUGUCAUGUUCUUUUUUUUUUUGUUUCUUUCAUUAUAUCAGUUGCAGGUUCUGAUACUUUUACACCGAAAAGUUCAUCACAGUAUAAUUAGAAGACAUGUUGGUUUUAGGUAUUUGAUUCUUUUAUACAAGAAAACAGUUGGUACUGUUUGAUUGUUUCAGUUCAACAUUCUGAAGAAUCUGAACAAAGAAUUAUUAUAGAAUAUUGCAGGUUGUAACACCUUUUUUUAAGGACAAGAAUAUAACAAUGAGGGCUCCGUUUUAGGGCUUUUUUAUUGUGAUAUUUACUGUUGUUGAUACAAGUAAUUAACAAGGAGGGAAAGAUGGUGAGAAAGAGUGUAGGACAUGGAGGAGGAGAAGGUUGUUGCGUAGGGCUUUCAGAGAAAAAAGGAGCCAACCUGUUAGUCUCUCGUGCAUUUAGGCUUAUAUAGGAGGUCACCUUUUAUCCUUUAUGAUUGGUGUCACAUAAUCGAUAAUAUGAUGUCCGGUAAAAUUGUGCAUGUUAAUUAGAUGAUAAUGCAGUUACAAGUCAAUUGUCAUCAUAAAGUGUAUUGAGUGAUUUUGCUCUUAUAUAUUCAUUUUUGGGUUACAAGGUUAUUAUGGCUUUAUGGUCUCUAUGGAAUGCAUAGCAAGCUGUCUUUUGGACAGGAUAAUCAAGAGUUCAUCCGCGGAAUGUCUUACAUAAAAGGUCACUACGGACAAUUACUUAUGAAGAGUUGCACACAAAUAACAAAAAAUUGUCUAAAGAAGAUUCAUGUCUUGUCACGUGUCAUGUUGAAAUGAGUAUAUAAAUGUGACAAAACAAAAACCCACACUAUCCUAAAAUCAAUCCCAUUGGUAGCUUGACCAAAAAGUAAUAGAAUUAAUUCCAUUUUAAUGAACAAACAGUGGCCAGAAUCUGGUGAAUUUGCUUGGAAUUAAUAAAUAACCGACCUGAAGGCAACUCCUUCAGUUUUAAAGUGACUAUUCACUGAUAAGGUUUCUCCCUUUGAUAGCUUUCAAGUGAACAUAUAUACCUUUCUUUUUCUGCAAUUCUUUUUCUUCGUCCCUUCUUUGACCGUAUUUGGAAUAGAAUGCACAUGCAUUUUACAUACACCAUUUGGCCCCCUACCCCCUUUUUUCAUCUUAAAUACUCAUUAUACUCGGAUUUCGGUAUUAACCCGAAUACGAACAUAAGUCCAACAUCGAUAUGUCAGACUUUUUUUCAAAUUUUUUUCAUUGCUUAUUUGUGAGAUUUAAGACCUGCAAUAAUGGUGUACUAAAAAUGACCUAUAAUAUAAAAGUGAUUGGAAUAUUCCCCACUUUUUCUUUUUGGUAGAAAAGCCCCCACUCUUGUUUUUUACUUUAUCUACAUUCCAGACAGGUAAGAACAAACUAAUAAUAUGGUCAAUCAACAUAUAUAUAUAUACUCAUGGCUUCCAUAUAAACCUGCCAAGCCUGCAAAUCUGUCUGCUGCUUUUUUCUGGUUUCAUACACCACAGCAAUAUGCAAAAAAAGUAAAAGUAAAAAAAGAAUGAUAGUGCUAUUAGAUUAUCAAUGAAACCAACUUUUCUCAGUAAAAUCAUUAGCAAAAGCAGCAUGGAGAAGAAACAAAGCAUAUUCUGAUUCUAUUUUUUUCACUUUUGUUUUUUCUCUUUACAUUUAAUUCUUCUAUCACUUUGGUAAAAAUCCAUAAAACCCUUUACUUCUCUUUGCAUUUAAAACAAAAAGUUAACAAACAUAUAAUGAUUAUAUAUUUGACCAUACUUUCAUCUUUUCUUUAGUUCAUCAAAAGAAUAUUUCCCCUAAAACUAAACAAAUCAUGAAUAAAACAAUCUUCAAGUACCCUCUCUCAACUUCUUUUCCUGCAAAACCAAGAAAAGGGUUACAUCAUUAUCGUAUAAGGAAGCUAAUUUUUGGCUUUCUAAGUAUGAAGAAGUAGUCAGCAGUACCUGUGGAGAUCUAUCGGAGCUUGUUUCGAGAUGGAUUAGAAGUGGACUUUUUUGUUAAUCAGUUGCAUUGAGAUUGGAAUGUUGUAAGCUGACAUCAUGUUAUGAUUGAGUUGGAAUUCGAGUUAGUUAAGUUUACACCUGAUAAACAAACAUGAAAACAAGAUUAGUCGAAGAAAUUAAGAAAUAGUAAACCAAAAAGGGAAAGAAGAAAGAAGAGAGAACCAACCUUUUUUUGGUUAGUGAGCAAAGGAACGUCUCUAUCACCCUCAAGAAUGGAUCUCCUCAAAGUGAAUUUUACCUGCACAUGGGACCAACGUUAUCAAACACUUCAAAGCUGGUUUUUUGUGUAGAUUCUCGUUAUCUAUUGUCAAGUGGCCAUGAUUCAGUUUCUAGGAAGAUAUGUUGAAGGCAAUCUUUUCCACGUUUAAAAGCUAUGGGAGUAAAGGAUUAAAGUCCAAGGACCACAAUCACAAAGGAGUCUUGAGUAUGGAUACUUGUUUUAUUUCAGACAAAUUUGAUGCAUGAGAUGGAAAAAGGAAAAGAAAAAUGCUCGAUAAGGAUUUACCUGAUUGAUUCAGAAAAAAAAAAUUAUUGCUGAGAGGUAGAAGCACAUUGAAAUUCUUGCCAAAUGAUAUUUAAGCUCCUGGUUUAAACAAUAGGAAUCACUUAAGUAAUGGUUAAAAUAUAUAAAUAGGCAUUCACGUGUAUAUGUGUGUGUGUGUGUGUAUAUAGAGAGAGAGCAUACAUUGAAUGCAGGUCGUAACCUCCUUUAGAAAAAAUUUAGCUCGGUGUAUCCAUGCGCAUACGGCAAAAGCUCCUCUACCUCAAUCCUCCUCGAACUAGAAUAACUCAUGCUCUUCUUAAGUUGACCACGGCUUGACUCAACCUCAGCCCAAAAUAUACCAUAAACCGGUCUGUGAUCUGAGAACUUAGAUUCCCCACGGACAUAAGAUAAUUGAUGAAUACCUUCUCCGUACCACAGUAUCCGGUCACACCUUCAUACAAAAAAAGUUCAAGUCAGUACACUUCUUCAGAGCUAUAGUUUUAACUACUUUAUCGUGCCAUACGGCGGAGGCAGUUUCUUACCAAGCUGGAGUUCGACAUUUCUCCUUUGGGUGCAUAGCAUCCCCUGUAUACCUAUCUGAAUUAGUUGAAUACUUGUAUGUUGGUGGGAAGUAAAUCUUUCCUUCAUGCCAUCCCUUAAAAACGCGCCCUCUUUUUUGCUCUAUCCUUAGCUGCCAAAUUAUCAUCAAUGAAAGGUUUUCCUAUUAAAUUUGACAGUAGAAUUUGUUGUACGUUAUUCAGGGCCUGUGAAGAUAUGGAGAAGUAAAAGCAUACCUGGUCAUUUUCUAACAAUGCUCUCCAGUUCUGCAUUUCAACAAGUGCCUUGGCAGACCGGUAAGAGAGAGCAAUACGAUAAUUCAAAUCCCCGAGCCAAAUUAUUCGACUGGAUUAAUAUAUAAUUAGUCAGUAUAUGCAACAAAAAAAAAAAGCAUAUGAGAACAUAAACAUUGGUAUUUUUAGCAUAUGAACCAAGUCCUUACUCAUGCUCGAGGAUUGUUUCAGGGGACUUCUCAUUAGCUUCACUAUGAACCCGUGGAAACCUCGUCUUCUUAAGAAUCUCCAUAACAUCCGAGUUUCUCCUUAGCUCAUCACCCUCCUUUUGUCCCGAAGUUAAAUGAGUGCAAAUGAAGCAAAAGCUUGUUUGAUGUACUAACAUACUGACAGAUAUAGAACCCUGGCAAACCAAGACAUAUAGGUUAAACAGAAGUGCUUCUUAUUCUCAAGCAUAAGAUAAGUAAAUUAGAUACGGUCAAGUAAUACCUUAUUUCCAAGAUAACCCAUCAAUCCUCUGCCAACACAAGAUACUUUCAUGUUUUUAACAUGAUCUCUCAACUCGCUUCUCACCCAAAUUGUGAUAAAUAUACCAACCAUUUGCUUACUAGCCACUAAGCAGUACCUUGAAUGUCCAGGCAUCCUAUACCCCGGUUCAUUGGAUGCAGAUCCACCGUAGGACAUUGGCGAGUGCAAUACAGUACUUGGUGAUUCUGUGAUUCCAUUAUCAUCGUCUGAUGAACCCCAUCUGGAGUAAUCACUAGGUCUAGAGUAAUCGCUAGGCCGGGAGUAAUCACUGGGCCUAUUACCCCAUCUAUAACUAGAAUCAUAGUCACUUGGCCUAUGACCAAAUAUUACCCUAUCACAAACACUGAACCGCCUGUCAAGUCGUGGUUGUGGAAUCGAGGGAUCAUUGUCCAUUCUCCAACUGCUGGUUGUCUGGAACGAUCUGCGGUGAAAGAACGACGAAUUCUUCUGCCUAGAUGACCCUUCAAAAUCAGCAUCCAUCUCCACAAUAGGCUGAGGAACAGGAGAUGGUGUAUAGCAACCCACACCUCCACUUGUUCCAGGAAGAUUGUUAAGAGUCUUCCUAAUGAGAGACAACCAUUUUUUGGCCGGACCAUUGUCUUCUGCACCCAAAAUAUUCCCAGCAUUCAAAGGAACUAUCUCUUGAAACCUGUAAGAAAUCAAAGAGGAAACAAAUUAUUCUAUGAACAAUUCAAAGUUUGGUAAACAAGACAUGAAGAUCAAAACCGUCAAAACAUACCCAAGGACAUAUAUAUCUGCAGGAGAUGAUGCAUGGAGCAAAUCUUCUAGAUUCAAAUUACUCGGUGGCGAUCUUCCGGCCACAUUCCAUGUAGAUGCAAAAAUGCUGCUCCAAAGGACAAUAGAAGAACAGUUGGUACUCAUGCAUCACAAAAAAAAAAAACAUAUAAUUUUUUUAGGAAAAGCAUACCUAUAAUUUUCGACAUCUAUGAUUCGAGGGUGAUCAAGAUUCAUUCUCCCUCUCCGGCUCCGACUUUGCUCCGUGUUCCUACUAAAUUUUUCUGCAAAUCAUAGCAGCAUUUAGACAAUUAGUAGAAAAACAACAAAAUAGUCCCCAAAAAAAUUAGUGAGAUAAGAUUAGGAACCUGUUUUACUCUUUUUGAUUGUGCAUGGCUCCCUUUCUGAGAAGCUAGUCCUGUAUUCCACUUCACCUCCUGAAGAUUGAAAAACAAAAAAUCAAAGUUAUAUAUACAUGUUAUGAACCAGAACAGGAACUGUACCAACCAAAAAGAAUAAAAAUUGAAGUUACAAUGGAAUCAUUUUCAGGAUGCCUUGUCUGUUUUGAUGGGAAAUUGCAUGAAAAAGAGUACUUAAAAAUAGAAUCCAGGAAAAGAUAAAGCCUUGAAAUAACCAAGUAAUCCAUUCUAAAUAACUUAGCUUGGUCUGAACAGAUAAGAGGAAGAAUAUUCCCUUUCUUUUUUUGACAUGAAAGCUUGAGAUCCUAACUAUUUUUUUUAUGAAUACCAAGCAAUCACUGUGAAAAUUAACGCUCCUCAAAGUACUCACCUCCUCCACAAACAUGAUCAUCUGCUUGAAAAUCCUCAGUUUUGCUCUUGAUAUUGAACCAUUUUCUGACCAUCUUUUUGGACCAUGAGAGCUACACAAAAUGAAGGAAAUUUUAGUCAGUUAAAAACCUUCAAUUUUUUUGGUCUUUCACAAAUUUGAGAAUUGAAAACCAGAAAGAGAGAAAGAGGAAGAAAGAAAAGAAAAGAAAAACCUCGCUUUUCUUGGCUUUCCCAUCUCUCAUUGUUGGACUUUUGCUUCAUACACCUCCAAAUUUACUCUUUUUUACUAUUCCCGAAACUCUCAACUUGCUAACAAUCACCAAGAAAAAAAAAAGACUGUUGCUACUUACUACAACCCCAUAUAGGCAGCAAACUCCACCGAUCCUUCCCCGAUUUCAGGCCUUUUUAACUUAGAUUAAAAACAAGCUGAAUUAUUUGAUCCCAGAUAAUCUUCAACUAAGAAAACAAAUGUCCCAAGUCCCCUACCUUCACUUUCCUCAAAAUCAAAGGCUAAAGCUAAAGCAAAGAGAGCUAAACAUGAAAUGGGUUUGCCUUAGUUUCUUGUUCCCAGUAAGUGAAAGCAAAGAAACAAGCUCAAAAAACCCAGAAAACAUGAAGCUCCAACGACUAAUAUAAAAGAAAAAGAGAGAGAUAGAGACAACACUUUAAUGCUUGGAAAUAAUAUGAAGAGAAGGGAGAUUCUUGAAACUAUAACAAGACAAUGUGGGCAAACAUAAAGAGAAAGCAAGGGGAAGAAAGUCUAGAGAGAGAAAGCUCGUAAGACAAACACAAGCAAAGGCAAAGGCAAAGCAGCCCCUUCUCUCUCUCUCUCUCUCUCUCUCUGUCUCUUCCUUCUCUUUACUUUGUUAGAAAAAUAAAGAGAGCAGCAGAACACCUCGUUAUCAGUAAAAAAGCAAAGUAAUGAAAUUUUGAAUGGAAUAAAGUGCAAAAUAAAUAUAGAGAGAAACUCUGUCACACACUCUCUUGUUUAUGUUUGCUUUUUUUUUUUUAUGGAUUUUUUAAGAGAUUUAAAAAUUUAUAGAGAGGCUUUUAGUUCCAUCUAAUGUUACAGGCUAUUUCAACAUGAAUGAAGCAAAGAGGUAAUGUCGUUUUGUACUAUGUACUGUUAAAACGACAAGGGUUUAUGGUCAGCAAAGUGAUUGAAGGGCGGUUUCAAAUUUAAGCUGUCUUUGAAUCACUUUGGGUUAAUAUACUAUUUCGUAUGUGAGUUUAGGUUUAUUAUUCGAUUUGGUAUCCAGAUCAAAUAAUAUUACUUAAUUUAUUGAAUAUUUGAUAGGCGUAUUCUAAUAAAAAACUAAAAAAUACUUAAUUGGAAUUAAAAAUAAAAUUCAGGUAUAAAUUAAAUAUUGAAAUUAAGUUUAAGUGCUUAAUUUUGAAAAAAGAAUGAAGUAUCAAAUUGAAAAAAUUUUAAUUACCAUUUUAAAUGUUGAAGCCAGUUCUUAAAGAGAAGGAGAUAGGACUGUUAUGGAGCGAGGCUCUUUUAAAUUACAAAAACUAUGUGUAAGUCUAAUCAAAUAGCGAGUUGAGAUUAAAAAACAUUCUCAUGAGAGAUUACGAUUGUAUUUGAAUGAUAGAAAUAAAACGGAGACAAGCAUACAGGUAUUGCAUGUUCAUUAAUUGAUAGAGAUAUGCAUACACGAUUUCGGUUUUGUAGGAAUAUAGCUUAUGAGGACAGGAAGCAAGCAUCACUUUUUGCUCCCAGGGAAGCCCUUAUUCACGCUAAGAAAAGCGGUUGGGUAGUGAGAAUGAUCAGGAAAAACAGGAAGCUUCUAAACCAAACGAUAGAGACUAAGGCAGAAGGAGUAAACUGGAGAUAUAGGCCAUUGGUGGAGGACAUCAAGAGGCUGGGAAACGUAUGCUAUGAGGAAGAAGGAUUGGAAAUGACAACGCAGCUCAAUGAGGAAAAUUCAAGAUGCUCAACAUUUGCCUCUAAUUUCCAUACUAAUGUUGUUUUAAAUAAUAAAUUUAUUAUGAAUAAUAGCCUAUGAAACAUGUCUUGAUAUCAAAAGACUUAAAAACUCUCAGAAUCAUUUAUUGGUCUUUCAUCCAAGUAAAAAAAGCAAUUAAAGAAGGGUCAUCUGUCUUUGUAUCUGUAGAAAACUAGAAAUUUUGAGGUUUUUCAAGAUUCCCCGGAAAAUAUUUUUUCUGGGUUAAUUCCAUUAAAAUCUUCAUAUAUUUUAAAUUAGUCUUUGGACUUCAAAUCACUCUAAUUAAAUCCUUAAAGAAUCAGUAUAUAUCAACCAGAAUCUUCAAUCAAUUUAAUUUCAAUUUAGACAUUAAAUACAAAUACAUGGAUCAAAUUGUAAAUAUAUUUAUAAUUUAGUUCACGUCUUUAAUAUAUCUCUCCUAAAAAUUGAAUGGACUAAUUAUCAGAAUAGUCCGAUAUGGUACUGAUUGAUAUGAUAAAGACUAAAUUAAAAUCCGGGCCAUAGAAUAUUUGGUUGUUAACCAAUCUAACUAUUUUCAUUAAAUACAGGGUUUAAUGGCCUUGUAAUCAAAGGCAAAUGCCCCAGUCUCUAAGGUGUCACUGUUAUUUAUUCUUCAUCACUCACUCACCUACUACUUUUUUCUUUUUUUUUUUUGAUCGAAACACCUACUAUUUAAAUAGAAGCUAUUUUCAAUAGGACCACAUUUUUGGAUUUAUCUAAUCUGGGUUUUUUUUUCUAUUAAAUUUCAGCCACUUAUGAGAGCCAAAUGAGGAGCCUCUAGGGAAAAAAGUAAGCUUAAUUCUAAAUUUCUUUAAUGGUAGAGUGGAGGAGAUUUCUAAAGUCUCCGCCGUCUAGGGCGGCUCCUCGGGCCAUAAACAAUCCUUGAUUAUAUAAACUCCAAUUUUCUCUAUAUAUUUUUAUAUCAAAAAAUGCAGUCAAACAUGUGCUUCAUUUAAGAUUUUAAAGCUAUGUAUAUACAUAUAGUUUGCUAUUUUGACUAGUCUUGGCAAAGACUGCAUUUUAGAAUAUGGUUCACGGGCUUUUUUCUUUAUUGAGCCGACUGCUGAAGAACAUUCCAUAUGUUGGGAUUAGGGUUAUAAAUUGUGAACUCUUUUAUUUUUAUUUGUUUAUAUUUAAAUUUUUAUUACAUUAUUAUUAUAAAAAUAGAUUAUAAAUAUAGAGGUGGAAUAUUUUUCUUGUUUUCCAAAUGUAUCUAUCGGAAUGAGUUCAAUAAUUAAUCUUCUGAUUUUCUAGAUCCAUUAAGGAGUUAGAUGUUGACCACAAGAUUUAAAACUAUUUUAUACUCAGAGGGAAGAUCAAACUCUUAAUUCUUAGUUAAGGUAGGAAAAAUCCUUAUUAUCUCAUUUAACUCCAAUGAUAUAUAGAGAUAGAAUAUUAAAUCAAUAAUGUGAUGGGUUUAUUAAUGUAGUCAAGUUUGCAUUUAUGAAAAACCAAACCUUAUGAAAUGUUUUUGUAUAAUCACAAAACUAAUUUCAAACAUGGUGAUGAAAAUACCAAACAAACUAUUUUUUUGGUCACCAAAAAUGCAUUAAAGUUUUUAGUUCAAAUAGCAAUGAAUCAACAUAGAACGAUAGGAAAUGCUUGCACCCAAUUUUUUUUUCAAAGCAUGAAAUGAUGAGUGGACUUCCAUCUGUUCCAACAUCGUUCCAUUUAAUCGGUGGCAUAAGAUAAAAUUAUUUGACUCCAUGAAAUGGGACGUGAUUUCAGAUUUUAUGAUUAGAUAUUUUAAAAAUAAUUAUAAUUCGAUACUAAUUAUUUUUUUUAAUUCUACAAAUAAAAAUAAGAAGCUGUCAUAUAUAUUUUUUUUAAAAUUAAUAAUUUUAUGUUUGUUUUAUGAUUUAUGUUUGAUAUUUUUAACUAUCUAAUUCUAUUUAUAGAAUUAAAAAAACUUUGAAAUUUUAAUAUUAUAUUAAAUUUCUGAAAUGUUCUGUCGUAUUUUAAUGUGGGUCUCGUUGGGAAUCAUUUGAAGCAAUAAGGAGAAAAAGCAAAAAUUGAAUAAUACAAAGCAACAUGUAAAAAGUGAUUGCUUGUAUUAAAGACCAAAUGAAAAAAAAGAAGAAAGGGGCCAUAUUUGUGGUGUUUGGAUAUCUAAAGAUCAAAGGGAAUGACCCUACUUUGGGAAAUCCCUGUUUUUUGCAUUGACAACUUGUAAUUCAAUAUACAUAUUUUUUUUUAUAUUGUUUUUAAACAAUUUUAUUAUAAGUUUUAAUUUUUUUUGACACAAUAUUUAGAAUUAUCUAUAAUUCCUCCCCAACCUUUAAGUACGAGGAUUAUACGCUUCAGUGCACUCAAACUCACGUCUUUCUACACCAGCAACAAUAUCUAUACCAAUCGAGUUAAGACUCAACCGACAACAUUUUUAAAUAAAAUAGUUAAAAGUGUAAUACGUGUUUAAUAGAUUAUAGUAAAAUAAAUUAAAUAGAUAAAUGUUACAUAAUUAGUAGGGGUUUUGGUUUUAUUAAAAAUGAAAAAAUUGCUUAUACAAAUUCUUUAAUUUCAAAAAAAUCACAAAUUAAUAAAAUGAUAAAAUUAUAUUGUCACCUUUUAAAAUUUUUUAUUCGUUUUUAAACCUUAGAACAAUUUAUUGGCUUUUCCCUUUCCAUGAUAUAUAGAGAGAGAGAGAGAUGGUAUCUAAGGAACAAGCUUCUUUUGGAUUCAAGUAAAACAUGAUGAAAGAAGAAAUUGGAUGCAGCAUUUUUCUUUCUUGCCUUAAUGUAUGGGAGACAAAAAACACUAUUUGUUUAGUUAUUGACAUUUUUUUUUUACUUAUUUUGAUUUGUUUGUACAUAAAUGAAUUUUUUUUACUUAAAAUGUAAAAUUUAUUCUAGUAAUUUCAUAUGCAUAUAUGCUUAAUUUCCAUCCCGAGAACUUGCCCUUGAUGAAUUUGUUUUAAGGUGGAGUAUUAGUCUAAAUUCAAUUCAUUUGAUAUUUAAAAAUAUUUAAAUAAAUUAUUGAACAAUUUUAUUUUUUGACUUAUGGCAUAUUUGCUCAAAUUAGUUUAUUUUAUUAGUAGUAAUAAUAUAAAGUUUUAAUAGUGACAAAUUUUUAGAAAAAAAAAAAUCAAUCCUUCAUAAAAAUUUAUUGGUUUCUCAAAAAAUAAUAUUUUUUUUUCGUAAGAAUAUACAUAUUAUAUAAAAAUCAAUGUCACCUCACAAUAAAAGAGAAUCUUUAAUCCAUAAAAUCAUGAAUUGCAGAUAACACCUAAACCAUAUAAAAUCAUUUGGACAACAAAAAUUUGUUUAUCAAUAAAAAGAUUCUGAAAUUUUCAAUUAUAAAAAUAUUAAAUUUAACAUACAAAAUCGAAUCUAAAACUUCAAAAAAAUAAUUUUAUAAACAUAUAUCCAAAGUAUGACUUUCAUGUAAAUAAGGUAUUUGAGAAGGAAAAAUGAAGAACAUAAAGGGUUAAAAAAACAAUAAAGAAUGGGGAAGAAGAUUUUGUAUGCUUUAUGCUUUUUGUAUUUUGGUGGGUGAAUCUUAAGUUAAAGCCUUAAAGGCUAAAAUUAUUAUGAUUUACGAGGCAGUCAAAAGAGGGUUAGUAGUCGUUUUCUCUUUUGAGUUUUUUUAUUUUUUUUAUUUAAAUUUAUUAUUGGUGCUUUUUUUAUUUAUUGCCUUGAAAAGACUCCAUUCCCGUUGUUAUUUUUUAUUUUAAACUUUUUCUUUACCAAUGUUUCUUUAAGGUAUGGGUUUACGGCUCAUAAUAUGUCACUUUCUUUAGCAUGUGUCAUGGCUACAUGCAUGAUUAUAAAUAUGAUAUAAAAAUAUUAACAAAUGGUUGAGUGUAAUAAUAAAGUACAUUAUAUUUUUAAGGGAUGAUUCAGAUUCAAACUUUAAAAACGAUAUUAUUGAGAAGAACAGCCAUGAACCCCAAAUAUGAAUCAUAAAAUAAACAUAAAAAAUAUAAAUAUAUAUAUAUAAAUCAAUAAAUUGAUGAUUAAAGUGUAAUGACUCUAUCUUGUUAAGAUUAAGAAUGUAAAUUCGAAUUUCAAUAAAUGAAUUUGAUUUUUUUUAAUUUUAAAAACUUUGAAUCAGAAUUAGUCUCAAUUUUAAUAUCUUAAAAAGAACCGAAUAAAAAUCAAAUUGUUGUAACAAAACAAUUCAUUUGGCUUAAUGGUAUUGUUUUUGAUGAAAACACUAGAAAAUUAAAAUUCGAAUAUUAAAAUAACCAAAAGUAUAUGUGAUUAAAAUAGAAAUUAAAUUAUAAAUUAAAUUGAAUUGAAAUCAAAAGUAUACAAUAUAAUAUAUUAAAAGUAUAUAUUUUAUUAAAUGUAAGUUACAAAUGAAUUAAAAUUAUAAUUUUUUAACUUACAUUUCAUAAACCGUUCAAAUAUCUCAACUCAUGUCGAUUUAGCUUUUAACUAAUAGAAAAGGUAUCAAUAUAUGUAGUUAAUAAUAAAUGCCUCUUGAAUUUAAUUUUCAUUCAAGUAAAAUAAUUUUCUUUAUUUAUCCACUCUCUUUAUUAUUUUAAAUUUUCUUUAUUUUUCAUAACGGGAGGAGAAAUAUAUAUAUUUAUAUAAUUAAAAUUUUAAUUUUCUAAAUUAAAUUUUUAUGAAUUUGGAUAGAUUAUGCAUCCAUGAGACCAGAGCUAGCUCUGGAAUCUUGAAAUGAAUUGAUUAAAGUGAUGACUAUUUUGAUAUGGAUUGACUUUAAUAUAUAAUGAGAGUAUAUGUAUAUAUUGAUGACACAACUGGAAAAAAUGGGUCAGGAGAAACACACACCACUUGCUCUUCAAAUUUCAAACCUUCCAAAUUGGCUAUCAAAAUCAUUGAGUUUUCAGUCUUUUUCAACAUCAUGUCCCUCUCUAGUCUCUACCCGACUCUUUACUUCCCAUUUAUUUUUUCCUUUAAUCAGAUUUCCAUGGAUUCUUCUUUCUUACAUAUUUUGACUAUAAACUAUAAUUCCUUUUAUAUUACUAUAAGCAAAAUAUAAUAAGAUUUAUAUAUAUAUAUAUAUAUAUAUUUCCUUGACUUUUUAUUUCCUAUAGAAUAUUCUUUAACCUUAAUCCUACGUGAAGUUAAUCAUUUAUUCCAUGACUUUUUCAUUUCGUCGGGGAUUGGACAAAUAUUAGACUAUCCCAAAGGAGCUUACUAGUUCUUUAUAUAUAUUAAUUACUAGUUAUUUUCAUAUUAUAUCCCAGGCAUAGGAUAGCACCGACGGGCGAAUAUCUAAAAAUCUAUAUUAUAUGAAUUAUUAAUAGAUUAAUAUUUUAUUAAAUAUAAAAUAUUUUUAUCACAAUUACGAUAAAAGAAAUUUGUACAGAUAUAAUAAGGAUAAAAUUUACUUGCAAUAAUGAUGAUUUUUUAAAUUGCAUGGUUAAAUUAGUUAGGAAACUAGAGUUCAUUUGGUAUUCUAUCCACUAUUAAUAUUUAAGUGUUUUUUUAAUUCAUUAAACAGGGUUAAAAGCUUGAGGCUUGUCCUUGUAGUUAAAGAAGACAUGUAUUUUGGGGUUGUUUUUUUUAAAAAAAAAAAUAAAUUCCGACAAUAAAUGAUAAAAUAAUACAAUUUAAUUAUUAUUUUAAGAAAAUUGUUUUACGUUUUAUGUCAUUUUUAUUUCUUAUACAAAUCCUACUUUUAUUUAUUUGUAUUAUUUUUUUCCAACUAUUAAAUCGAAAGAAAACUCGUAAUUCUCAUUUUCGUUAUUAUGACAACACCACCAAUUGAACUAAAAGCUCGAUUAUGUUAUAUUAUUUUUACUUAAACUAAAGAAAAAGUAAUCAAUUAAUUCUUUCUUUGAUUAUAAGCUUAGUAUAUUAUCCACUUUCAGUCAACAUUUUAGUUCUAGCACUAGUAUGUUUUAUUUUAAAUAAUACAUAGAAUAUGCAUACAAAAUUAUUAUUUAGUAUACUGAUGUUAAGGUAUUUUCAACUUUUUUGAGUGAAGUUUUUAUGUUAUUGAUUGCAAAUCAAUAAAUCUCUUAACAUAUUCGGUACCCUUUUUAUGAGAUUUUCCUUUUCGACUCAAAGUUAUAGGUUUAAUAGACUGAAAACAUUUCGUCAAGUCGAACUGUAUAGGAGAUAUAAGAAAAUGUUAACAUCUGCUUCUACUUUGAAUUGAUGAUACUUCAAACGCUAUUAAAUUCUUAUAAACUUCACAAAUAGAAUAAAAAUCCAUCAUAUGUCUUCUUUUUUUUUAAAUAUAUGAAUAAAAAAUCCGUCAUAUGUUACAGUUAUUGGACCUUCAUCACCAAUGUACCAAAAUAUAUAUCACCUAAACAAUGGCCUAGAAGGCCCAUAACUUAAUCUGUGAAAACCCUAAAUUAGUCUAAAUAAUUUAGUCCACAAGUUACAGUCAAAGAUACUAUAAGCCCACAAUACUUUUUGAGGCUAACUUAUAUAACACUUGUACAUAUUCUUAAACAGAUCCAUAACCGGGAUUUCAAUACAUUGGGCUUAAUCCAUCUGAAAGUUCAUUUUUCCCUCAAAGCCGAACACAACCAGCGAGGCCUCUGGCUCUGGAGUCGGCGAAAACCGCGAAGUCAGGAGGAGAGAAACAAAGCCUCUUAGCAAAAGAAACCAGCGAUCCUUCUCAUCUACCGCAUAUUUCCUUGGUCUUCAUAUCUGUCUUAUGAUGUCUAUUUUCUUCGUCUUCUCAUUUCCUUUUGCAACUACAAACAACAAUUCUUAAUAUUCAAAAAUAAAAGAAAAAUGGCGUCUUUACUUUUUCGUCAACGAAGAGUUUCAGCUUUGGGUGUUUCCCGGAUUCUUCAAGGUUUGACUUUCAACCUUAUUUAUUUGAAAAGAGAAAAGGGAAAAAUUUUCCCACUUUUUGUUAUAGAUUCAUUGUGAACAUGUGAAAUUUGAUUAGAUAGAUGGAAUUCUUGAUUGCCCAUUUCUUAGUUUUUAUGCUUUACUUGUACUGUUCAAGUGUUUUUGGCAUUUGGUUAUUUGUAGCUAAUAGAGGAAAAGCUUAUUGCAGGAGCUUUUAUAAUAUGGAUAUUGGUGUAUGCUACUCAUUGCGUUUAGCAAAAUAAAAAUAAAAAGUUCUGGUUCAGUUUUGAUUUACAUUUUUUAAGUUAAAUGUUUCAGCUGUUAAUGGUGAUUCCUUUCGACUACAACCGGAAUCGAAUUGCAGGACAUUUGCUACCUUUGGUGUAAUAAUAAGGAAUUACAGCAGUGGAAAGGGUACUGCAAAGCUCGAUUUUACUGAUCUCACGUAAGAACUAUGUGACUUACAGCUAUUAAUAGUGAUUUGUUUGGCUUGGAUAGGCAUAGGCAGCCCUUUUUUUGGUUUCGAAUUAUGUUGGUUAAAAAUCUACAAUUUGAGGUUUGUUCCAAUUGUACCAUUUCAUUCUAGUUAUAGGAAUACAAAAUCUUGAAAGACAAUAGACUUUACAAAUAUAAAUGUCUAGAUUUUUAAAUUUGAUUAAUUAUCUGUAUUUUAGUUUCGAAUACUAAUUUUCUGGAUUAUGUAACUAAAGCAUACCUGUUUCCGUUCUCCAAAUUCGAAACUUAUUGGCUAUAAGUUUUUCUUCCUACAAGGUAAUAGUCCUUGUUCAAAAUUUCCAUUAAUUGGGAGAUUAUAAAAAAAGAAAGGAAGAUGUUUUCUGCUCACUGAAUUUUGUUAUGUAAUUUCUGUAUAUCAUUGGCAUUUUUGUGAAAUUAUUUUUUGAUUAUCUCAGCCGUCCUCAUACAUGGUAUCUUAAUGCUCGAAAAAAGCAACGUAAGGUUUUCUUGCAUGUAGGUCCGACAAAUAGUGGUAAAACAUACCAUGCUCUGAAGCGACUUGAAUCAAGUUCUUCUGGUAUAUUUACAAUGCUACUUUUACCAGGAAUGGCUACUUUUUUUUUUUUUUUAGUAGUCAGUGAAUGAUUGAACGGGAUUGAAACUGGUAAAAUAAACUGAAAAACUAUUUUCCAUUGGUUCAUUCCCUAUUCAGGUGUAUAUUGUGGUCCUUUAAGAUUGCUGGCAUGGGAAGUGGCAGAACGGUUGAACAAAGCGAGAGUUCCCUGUGAUCUAAUUACAGGACAAGAGAAGGAUGAAGUGGAUGGUGCAAAGCAUAAGGCUGUAACUGUUGAGAUGGCCGAUGUAACAUCUGAUUACGAAUGUGCCGUUAUUGAUGAAAUACAGGUAAGUCCAUAUUUAAAUGAAAGAUUCACAUACAAUAUUUACCAAGUUCACAAGUAACCUUGCUGUUAAUUAUUCUCUCAGUGUGCGUGCAGAUUUGUUAAACAUAAAAGUAUGAUUCUUGUGCAACUUAACAGAAACUGUUUUAAGCAUUUUCCCUUAAUGGCAAGUCACUUAGUUUCCAGUUAAAUUUCUCUUUCUAUGCAGAUGUUGGGCUGUAAGACUAGGGGUUUUUCAUUUACACGUGCCCUGUUGGGAAUUGCAGCAGACGAACUUCAUCUUUGUGGAGAUGCAGCUGCUGUUCCUCUUAUUCAAGAAUUAUUGAAAGUGACUGGUGAUGAUGUCCAGGUAAGCAAUCGUAUGGAAUUGCUGUUCUUCUAUAUAAUGCACUGUUGGAUAAGUAGAAAUAUUGUUUUUUUACCGGUAUUUGGUGUCUAGCGUCGCUGACUAGUCAGAAAAAAAACUUUCUUGUUGCGGCCAUGUUCAUGACCCACUUUUGAUAUAUCUUUCUAUAUUGUCGGUAUUUUGCAUCACAUGGUUUUCUAAUAUCCCAGGUCCGAUCUUAUGAGAGACUUCUACCAUUAGUUCCCUUGGAAGUUCCACUUGGUUCUUUUUCAAACAUAAGAACAGGUGAUUGCAUUGUUAGUUUUUCGCGCAAGGGGAUAUACAAAUUGAAGGUCAGUAGUGCUUGCUUUAUUUUCUCUUGGCUAACUACUGAUUUGUUUCAGUAUGUUAAAACAUUAGUUUUUCUUCUUACUAUUUUGUAAAAGAAAUUGAACAUGCUUUCUGAUUUCGCCAUCUUUCAUAGAAAAAAAUUGAAACUGGGGGAAAGCAUCUUUGCUCCGUGGUUUAUGGUUCAUUGCCACCAGAGACUCGGACAAGACAGGUAUCCUCUCUUUCUGGCUUUAAUUGAUCACCAAGUAUGUGUGUGUGACUGAUGGUAAUUAUAUUUUCAUUGUUGCUUGUUUAUUUAUUUAUAUUUGUUCAUUAUUAAUACGGCCUUUAGGAUUGCAGGCAAGGAUGUUUAAUGAUGCAAGCAGUGAGUUUGAUGUUCUUGUGGCCGGUGAUGCAAUUGGGAUGGGUCUUAAUCUGAACAUAUCUAGGAUAAUUUUUUCAACAAUGAAAAAGUUUGAUGGUCUGGAAAGGCGGGAUCUUACAUUACCAGAGGUCAAGCAAAUUGCAGGUUCCCCUUUCAUUUUAGCUGUACUUUGAAAUUUUAUUUCUAUAUGGACAAUGAACUUUUUUGGUCAAUUUUCUGUCUUAAGACAUUCACUAAGGGUGGUAGAAAAGUAUAACAAGAAUCCGCUUGCUCGAGUUGUCAACUGCCAAUUUUCUUAUUCCAUGGGGGCAGACCCUGUAAAGUUGAUAAAUUUUCAUUAGACGGCUUUAUAUUCUUGUAGGGAGAGCUGGUAGGUACGGUUCAAAGUAUCCCAUGGGUGAAGUGACCUGUUUAGAUGCAGAAGAUCUACCUUUGCUUCAUUCAUCGUUGAAAUCCGCCUCUCCUACUUUACAGGUGAUUGUUUUAUCACUAACUUUCCUAAAAAUACCGCCUGGAUCUGACUUGUUCCAUUUUCAAUGGACCUGAAUAAGCAGCUUUUAUAUUUAUUUGCAUAUUGGUUCAGCAUUUUUUGUAUCUUGACUCUGUCAUUUUUCCGACACAGCAAGCUGGAAUAUUUCCUUCCUUUGAUUUCAUUUAUAUGUAUUCACGUUUACAACAGAAAAGAGGUCUCUAUCAGAUAUUGGUAGGUUAUCUUGUGAUAUUAUUUCGUCUAUCUCCUUCCUCUCGUUUUUCCUUUUUUAGUGACAGCUAAAAUGAACCCAUUGAGGGUUAAAAAUAAUUCGAACCCCACUGCCCUGUAUUUGAUUGUUGCAGGAAGAUUUUCUCGAGAAUGCAAAACUAUCCGAGAACUAUUUCUUCGCUAACUGUGAAGAAAUGUUGGUAAGUUUAUUCAGUCAUGUUCCCUUUUACAAAUCAAAAUUUCUUGUCAGAUAACAAUAUCUCCGGUUAUGGAUAUUUAGCUUUUACAACAUGAAUCAAUGAGUGAUAAAAGGCUGUUUAUUGUCAUCAGAAAGUUGCUGCUGUUAUCGAUGAACUGCCUCUAAGUUUGCAAGAUAAGUACCUUUUCUGCAUCAGGUAACAUCUUUCAAUCUUGCUCCCUCCAACAACCCGAACUUUGUUAUUUGAGUUUGUCUGCUAGUUUUACCAAUGCAGUUUCGAGUUUGCUUAUUAUUAUUAUUAUUAUUUAUGAACUUGCUUGGAAUCAACUGGCUAACACAGGUAAAUCUUUGUGCAGUCCAGUUGACAUGGAUGAUGAAAUUUCAUCUCAGGGUCUAACACAGGUAAAUAUUUGUAUACAGUCUUGAUUAUCUUGAAUAUGGAAACUAACGGCUUUCUAUUCUAUCAUUGUGGAUCAGUUUGCCGAAAAUUAUGCAAAGAAAGGCCUCGUUCGUCUUAAAGAAAUAUUCUCACCUGGUUCACUUCAGGUGCCUAAAACGCAUUCUGCUCUCAAGGAGCUUGAAUCCAUUCACAAGGUAUGAGUUUGUUUUUCUCAUGCGUGGGGUGUAAGCUUCGGUUGAGUUUUUCAUUUGGAUGAAUCGUUUCUUAAUUUAUUGUUGUUUGCUCCAUCUGAAGGUGUUGGAACUCUAUGUUUGGUUGAGUUUUCGUUUGGACGAAUCGUUUCCGGACCACGAGUUGGCUUCAUCACAGAAGGCCAUCUGCAGUAUGUGAGUACCCUUUGCCAUACUUAAUCACUUGCUUUGCUUUCCAUUGUUAACCUUGCUAGUAAUGUUUUGGAUUUGUAGGUUAAUUGAGGAAUUCCUCGAAAGGCUUGGUUUCCAAAACCCAACAUCAAGAAAGUUAAAUUCAUUAAUGGCAAAAAAGAGAAGACAAUACCUCUGAUUAAAUGUAAACUACUAUUACCAUGUAUUUAUCCAUUAACCCCAUCACCCCGUUCGUUCCCACCCCAUAUACCUUUCUGUUUGUCAAACGGAUUUGUUAAAUUCAGACUCGAGAUCUCAAAGUUUUUCGAUGGAAAUUUCCUGUUUAUUUUUCCUUAGUUAAAUUACACUUGUAGUCGUCUAAUUUUGAGUAAUUAUGAGUAAUUUUUUUAUUGAUCACUUAUUUACGAAAGUUAUUAAAUGGUUAUCUAACUAAAUAUUUAAUUUUAAUAAUUUUAUUUUUUUUGUGACUGUUCACCUAAAAAGCUAACAAACAUAUUUAUCAACAAAAUUUAACUGAAAAUAUAUAAAAAAUGAAAACGCUAAAAAUCUAAAAUAAUAAUUUCUUUUUCAUAUUUUUUAAAAUUAACUUUUACACAUUGAAUAAAUAUUGAGAUUAUUUUUUUUGAAAAAAUUAAAAUUAAAAUAAAAUAAUUUAUAAAUAUUGAAAGUUAAAAUUGCAUGAUAACAAUUUUAAAAAUUAUCACAUUUAAUCGGGUGAUAAUUAAAAAUAAAUAAAAUAAUAUGAUAACUUUGAAAUAAUUAACAAAAAGAAUUUGCUAAUAAUUGAAUUAGUAGGAAUAGCUUUUUUAACUCAAAUCAUUUCAUUAACAAAAUGUAAAAUGGAGUUUCAUGGUAAUGAAAUAUUAACACAAUCAAAGUAUGAUAGUUACAUAACAAUAUCAAAACCUUUUAAUUUUAGAAUUCAUCAAGUGCUUCUUGCAACCACUCUUACGAGAAGGUAUUUUAUUAGGUCGGAAUUUGGGCUUCGGAGUUCAAAUCCAAACUGUCUGUAACCUCUUUUGUAAAAAAGAACUUUGGUUUUAGGUUACCGUUCGAGAAUCAUGGACUGUGAUGCGAGAAUCAUGGACCACGAGGCGAGACUAAACAUAAGCAAGUUGGCGUUUGGUCGUCCGGUAUCAUCCCUCCUCCUCUGCUUGUAUUAACAGCUUCUAGCAUUCUCACAACCUCAUCCAUUGCAGGACGUUUCUCCGGAUUCGCAUCCCAACAUUUUUUCAUGAUGUUCGCUAAAGAAUUCGGGCAGCAUCUCGGGAUAUCUGGUCGUAGAUUCUGCCGAUACACCAUGUAAAAUAGGUUUAAUAUCAUUUAACCAUAUACAUGUAAGCACAUACAGAAUAGCAAACAAGCAGAAUAACUCCACAUUAUUAACAAUGGUGAGAGCAACCGGAUACCAAGAUUAGGAUACAUGGAUCUUCUAUGCUUUACUGACGAAAUAGAAUAACAAGAAAACUAACCUGUCGAACAACAGCAGAUGACACAUCGGCAAAGCUAAGGUCCGGAUAAGGCAUAUCGCAGCAAUAAAUUUCCCACAAGCAAAUGCCAAAGCUGUAGACAUCACAUGUUCUGUUGUAGGGUUUACCUUCAAGAACCUACACCAUUACAGUUUACAGUUUAGCUUUCUUGUUUUAACAUGGAAAACAGGACCAAAUGUCUAGAAAAAAAUUACGUUCCCUCAAAUCCUCAUGCAAGGCCCGUUUGCAUAUCACAGAGAAAGGGAGGAUUAAUUCUUCAUAAGCUAAGUUUGCAAAUAAAUGAUUAAAGCUUUGAACUACUCAUGCUUUAUCAAUACAUUUAAGAAGGCAUACCUCAGGGGCCAUAUAGCCGAGAGUACCGGUUUCACCUGUCAUGUCUCGUGGAUUCUGAGCUUCAACGCGUGCAACACCAAAAUCUGCAAUUUUAAGGUUUCUAUGACCAUCUAGCAACAUGUUCUCUGUUUUGACAUCACGAUGUACAAUCUUUCUCGAGUGCAGGUAGCUGAGACUGCAAUUUGGAAUAAACAUAAUCGUCAGCACAAGAAAAAAAAAUUUACAGUCUCUCAAAACCAAUGAUAAGAUGCAACCCCUUACCCUCUGGCAAGGUCCAGAGCAAGUUGGACCACAAUCUUAAAUGCGAGUUUCUUUCGCCUAUUUCUUAUCAAGUAUUGUUUCAGUGUGCCACCAGGGAGAUACUCGACAACAACACAGCAUGCUCUAGAGGGAAGGGGAUUGUGAUUGUCAGCCGAAGGAUUUUUCGAAGGAAUCUUAAGGUUUGAAGUUCCCAUUGAGGCCCCUAUAAACUGUAACUCAAAAUUAAGUAGAAAAAACAUAGGUUACAACAGAAUUUUUUCAAAAAAGAUGAGGAACUUUAACAUUUUAACCUUUACCAAGUUGAGAAUAGCCUAAUUAUGCAAAGAGAUUGCAUAAAAUUUUCAGUUAGAAGGCCAAGAUUACAUUAAGCUUUUCGGUGUUAUGAUGAUUUUCAAUAAAUAAACAUUUCAAGGCAGAAAAAAAAGUUUGGACCUUUGUAACAUUAGGAUGAUCAAGCUUGUGCCAAACAGCAACCUCUUGCCGAAAUGAUGCUCGUAGAGCAGCAGUUUCAGCAGUUGUGGCGAUACCAUCCUCGCCCCAGUCCAGCAGCUUAACUACAAUAUCAAUAUAUAUGACAGCACACCGAGAGCUUGUAAUCAAUAAGAUGUCAGGAGGCUAUUAGUUCUACAAAUAGUCAAUAUUAUAAGAGAGCUGACUAAGACAAUUUCCCCAUAUCCUCCUAUAGAAACCCGAAAGCAUAACUCCUUACUACACCAAUCCUCGAGGUAACACUAGUCAUGUCCUCUACUAUAUUGUUUUUAAGUUCAGCAAAGGCUAAAAGGCCAGUGAGUGAGAAACUAUCAGCUCCUAUAAAGUCAGUACUCUAAACCAAACCAUGUUAGUAUUACUAAUCAUGACAGCAAAGAGAACUCCACUAAAGAUAUAAACAGCUAAAUUAAAUGAAACAAUAUUUAUAUAUAGCCACCUUUAUUUCGAUUGGCAGUUUAGCACACAGAUAUCUUAUAUAGCGGAACCGGCUUGCGCUCUACACAAAGGAUAGAGAUGGUCAGACCAAACAGGGACCCUCUAUCACCAUGCCUUAGGCCCUAAUUCAGUUCUACAUAAUGCACGUUGCUUCAACAUGCAGAAUAAACUACAAAGGGUCUUACUAAUCGAUAUUUUAACUCGAAAAACUAUCAAUACAAAGUUCAAUCACAAUUAACACACACACACACAUAUAUAGAUUAAGAAAUAACAAAACAUAAUUUUUAAAGCUGCAUCAAGCAAACAAGUUACAAAGCUUAAGAACUAAUAUAGAUAAUACAAGUAUAUAUAUUUAUAUAGAAUCUGAAAAUUUACCUGCAACAUCUUGAUUAUCAUAAGUGGCACGAUAAACAGUCCCAUAGGUGCCAUGAGCUAUAACAUUCCUUAAAUCCAACUUAGCCAAAUCAAUCUCCCAUUCCUCAGCUAGCCUUUGUUUCUCAAUGUUCCUAGACCAAACUCGGCUCAGGUGCUUCUCCAGCUGCAUGUCCAGGCUUUUUAAAUCAAUUUGAUCAGCUCUAAAGAUCAUGUCUUUGCCACUAAUGCUUCCAUUGCCCUUCAUCUUUGAAUUUCCACCUCCUUCUAGUCCAUCUUGUCUCUUUGGUGCUUUGAUACCAUUAUCUUCCUCACCAGUUUUCAAAUCCAUAGUUAAAAGAAUAUAACAAAAUCACCAAAUAAAAAAACACAAUUAAAGACCCUUAAACUGCAAAACUGAUAAUAACAACGGAAUUUAAACUAAGAUUAAAAAAUAAGUUGCAAGAUUCUCCAAUUCAGGACAAGAGGAUAAAUAUCAAUCAAAUAUACAUAUGAUCGGAUAAAAAAACCCUGUUUACCAACCCCAAAUCCUAUUAUAAUCCUGUAUUCAAAAUUGAACUUAUGACCCAAAUUUUAUGAUUUGCAUUUAAAAAAAAAUAAGUAAACUGGAUUUUUGUUUAGACCAGAAUUUAGAGAAACCUGGUAGCUUUAACAAAAAAACAAAAUCUUUAAUGUCACCAACUAAUUAAAUAAUUCUAAACGGAAAAGAACAAAAACCCCCAAAAAAAGAAAAACAGAAGAGAAAGUAAACCCUAAGAAAACGACCCAAUCCCCACCAUUACCCGAAAUGAAUGAACCAGAAUUUAAAUUAUAAAAAAAUUAAAUGAAAAUUUUAACUAAAACCCAAGAAAGAGAAACAGGCAUGCAAAGUAGAGUAAGCAAAACAGAAUAACAAAAUAGUUUUUUUUAUUAAUUAAAAAAACCAUUUAAAAGAAGUUUUCGAAAGAGAAAUUCAGGACGAAAAGGUUGACUUAAAAUUAAAUUCUAUAAGAACUUGAAGAAAAAGGGAACAGAAAAAAGAAAAGAGGUCGGUGGUGGUGUCGUUAAUUGAAUUGUUUCGAUUAUCAAAACAACAAAAAAAAAUUAAAGGUUAAUGAAAAGAUAAAGAACCGAGAGAAAUAGUUAAAAAUUAUCUCUUUUUUUGCGGCUGAAAAAAGGAAUGGGUUUUUUUAAGGUAGAGAUUAACGGAAAGGAUAAAUAAAACUAAUAGAAGGAAAACAAAAUUGAAGAAUUUAAUUGGAUUUGGAUAAGAAUUACAGGGUAAAUCGCAUUAUUAUAAAAAUAUUAUUAUCCUUUAAUCUUGUUACAUGACACCUUAAGUGUAUCACAUGUUAAAAAAAUGUUUUUUUUAAUAUUAAAUUAUUUACUAUUUAUUUUUUAUUUUUUUCUCUCUUUUCCUCCUCUUCUUCUUAUCACCUAUUUUGAUUUUUAGAGGAAAAUCCUGCAUUUUAAGGCAUAUGACAGUUAUUUUUGUCUGAUUUUGUAAUUUAUAUAUAUACACACAUGUACUUUUACAGGGUUGUGAUUUUGGGCAUUUUUAAGGUAAAUGUCUACUUUUUUUACCUUUUAGUAUGCUUUUUACUUCCUUAUGGUCAGUGCUGCAAUUUGAGCAUCAUCAUGGGCAGAUUAAUUAAAAGGAAAAGAGAAGUUCUUGGGGUUUGAUUGUUGAAAACAAAAAAAGUUUGAAUUUUUUGAUGUAGAAAUCUCAUGCUGGAUGCAGACUAGUGAAAAACAAACAACAAUUUUGAGAAUCAGGUACUUAUAAGCAGCUUUGAAUCAAGACAUUCAAUAUUUUGACACUGGAAUUAGAACAUCUAAUGUUGUUUUUGCUAUCAACACUAAUAUUGUUAUGGUCAAAGAUGGUAAUAGUGAUAAGGUAUUCAUAAAGUUUUUAUCUUUUUUGGUCUCUAUGAGGUAAAUUUGAACA